This 830-nucleotide ribosomal RNA is filed under the name uncultured bacterium. Its description in RNAcentral is "bacterial SSU rRNA". It matches the Rfam family "Bacterial small subunit ribosomal RNA", at positions 35 to 859 of the family's 1533-position model. The record is from RNAcentral.
GCUGGCGGCAGGCCUAACACAUGCAAGUCGAGCGGUAGAGAGAAGCUUGCUUCUCUUGAGAGCGGCGGACGGGUGAGUAAAGCCUAGGAAUCUGCCUGGUAGUGGGGGAUAACGUUCGGAAACGGACGCUAAUACCGCAUACGUCCUACGGGAGAAAGCAGGGGACCUUCGGGCCUUGCGCUAUCAGAUGAGCCUAGGUCGGAUUAGCUAGUUGGUGAGGUAAUGGCUCACCAAGGCGACGAUCCGUAACUGGUCUGAGAGGAUGAUCAGUCACACUGGAACUGAGACACGGUCCAGACUCCUACGGGAGGCAGCAGUGGGGAAUAUUGGACAAUGGGCGAAAGCCUGAUCCAGCCAUGCCGCGUGUGUGAAGAAGGUCUUCGGAUUGUAAAGCACUUUAAGUUGGGAGGAAGGGCAUUAACCUAAUACGUUAGUGUUUUGACGUUACCGACAGAAUAAGCACCGGCUAACUCUGUGCCAGCAGCCGCGGUAAUACAGAGGGUGCAAGCGUUAAUCGGAAUUACUGGGCGUAAAGCGCGCGUAGGUGGUUUGUUAAGUUGGAUGUGAAAUCCCCGGGCUCAACCUGGGAACUGCAUUCAAAACUGACUGACUAAAGUAUGGUAGAGGGUGGUGGAAUUUCCUGUGUAGCGGUGAAAUGCGUAGAUAUAGGAAGGAACACCAGUGGCGAAGGCGACCACCUGGACUAAUACUGACACUGAGGUGCGAAAGCGUGGGGAGCAAACAGGAUUAGAUACCCUGGUAGUCCACGCCGUAAACGAUGUCAACUAGCCGUUGGGGAGCCUUGAGCUCUUAGUGGCGCAGCUAACGCA